GAUGAACGCUGGCGGCGUGCCUAAUACAUGCAAGUCGAGCGAACAGACGAGGAGCUUGCUCCUCUGACGUUAGCGGCGGACGGGUGAGUAACACGUGGAUAACCUACCUAUAAGACUGUGAUAACUUCGGGAAACCGGAGCUAAUACCGGAUAAUAUAUUGAACCGCAUGGUUCAAUAGUGAAAGACGGUUUUGCUGUCACUUAUAGAUGGAUCCGCGCCGCAUUAGCUAGUUGUUAAGGUAACGGCUUACCAAGGCAACGAUGCGUAGCCGACCUGAGAGGGUGAACGGGCACACUGGAAGUGAGAAACGGUCCAGACUCCUACGGGAGGCAGCAGUAGGGAAUCUUCCGCAAUGGGCGAGAGCCUGACGGAGCAACGCCGCGUGAGUGAUGAAGGUCUUCGGAUCGUAAAACGCUGUUAUUAGGGAAGAACAAAUGUGUAAGUAACUAUGCACGUCUUGACGGUACCUAAUCAGAAAGCCACGGCUAACUACGUG
RNAcentral lists this ribosomal RNA (497 nucleotides) under uncultured bacterium. RNAcentral describes it as "partial 16S ribosomal RNA". It matches the Rfam family "Bacterial small subunit ribosomal RNA", at positions 28 to 507 of the family's 1533-position model. The record is from RNAcentral.